RNAcentral lists this ribosomal RNA (442 nucleotides) under uncultured bacterium. Its description in RNAcentral is "partial 16S ribosomal RNA". It matches the Rfam family "Bacterial small subunit ribosomal RNA", at positions 339 to 795 of the family's 1533-position model. The record is from RNAcentral.
CUACGGGAGGCACCAGUGGGGAAUAUUGGGCAAUGGGCGCAAGCCUGACCCAGCAACGCCGCGUGAGGGAAGAAUGUCUUCGGAUUGUAAACCUCUGUCCUUGGGGACGAAAAAAAUGACGGUACCCAAGGAGGAAGCUCCGGCUAACUACGUGCCAGCAGCCGCGGUAAUACGUAGGGAGCAAGCGUUGUCCGGAAUUAUUGGGCGUAAAGGGUGCGUAGGCGGCGCUGUAAGUCAGAUGUGAAAUCCCCAGGCUUAACUUGGGAGUUGCAAUUGAAACUGCAGUGCUUGAGUAAAGAAGAGGUAAGUGGAAUUCCUAGUGUAGCGGUGGAAUGCGUAGAUAUUAGGAGGAACACCAGUGGCGAAGGCGACUUACUGGUCUUUUACUGACGCUGAGGCACGAAAGCGUGGGGAGCAAACAGGAUUAGAUACCCGUGUAGUC